ACGGGUGAGUAACGAGAGGAGGUGCCAUGUCGAGGGAUAGGCUUGGGAAAGGAAAAUUAAUACCUGAUGGUCUCAGUUGUAUGCUUGGAUGAUUGAGUAAAGGCUUCUCUUGGUGAUGGAUGGUCGUGCGUCCCAUUAGUGAAGGUGGGGGGGGAACGGCCCACCAAUCCUUCGAUGGAUAAGAUUCUGAGAGGAAGGGCCCCCACUUUGGAAGUGAAAUACGGUCCUACCUCCUACCGGUGGCACCUGUGAGGAACAUUGGUCAACGGGCGAGAGCCCGGACCAGCCGACUAACGUGGGAGAUGAGGGCCCUUGUGGGCCUAAACCGUGUUGUCAAAAAUAAAAUACCCCAGGUGAGGUGUUUUGCUGGUAGCUUAAGAAAAGGACCGGCUAAUUCCGCGCCACCAGCCGCGCUAAUACACAAGGUCCCAGCUUAGACCGGAAGUUUGCGGGUAAAGGUAGCGCACGCGGGGUAUAAGAUGCUGGUACAUACAGAGCUGAACUCUGUAUGUGCCCUUACCUGUUUCUUGACUAAAGCAGGAAGGCGGAUACAUAUGUACAGUCGAAGGGCGAAGGUCUUUUAGAAAAUCCAGCGCGAAGCUCGUCUUUUCCUAGCGUAUCCGGACUUUCACGGUUCAAAAAGUGAUGGUAUGAGCAAAGAUAUCG
This 666-nucleotide ribosomal RNA is filed under the name uncultured bacterium. RNAcentral describes it as "bacterial SSU rRNA". It matches the Rfam family "Bacterial small subunit ribosomal RNA", at positions 102 to 787 of the family's 1533-position model. The record is from RNAcentral.